GACCGUGCCGCUGUUUAGUUUGCUUGCAUCCACUGAGGCACGGAUAAAUCAGCAUGUGUCAAGAGUUUCUGCACACAUGAAAGGAACUGGACUUGUCAAAUCAAUCUCUGACUAAAUGAGGCCACCAGGAAGACAGAAUGAGGUGGCUGCUUCCGGAGUUACGCAGUAGCCUAAAUAGACUGUGUUGGAGGAAAAUGGUCAAUUCAUACAAUUUAACAAGUUUAUCCUGCUCAAGGUCUAUACAAGGUGACUCCGGAUCAAAGGCAGAGCAUAUCGACAGACAACCAUCCACACUAAGUGAAAACUGAACCCAUACUGCCUGCAUGGAAGUCAGGCGAGUGAACCUCUACACCAUCCUGACCUGAUGUAACCUACAGAAGUAACCAAAUAAUUCCACACGACUCUUAGUACGAUGCAGUACAGUUCCACA
Molecule: long non-coding RNA, 430 nt
Organism: Phyllopteryx taeniolatus (common seadragon)
Lineage: Eukaryota; Metazoa; Chordata; Actinopteri; Syngnathiformes; Syngnathidae
Exons: 3
Source: RefSeq, a predicted model, not a curated record